Molecule: ribosomal RNA, 210 nt
Filed under: uncultured bacterium
Lineage: Bacteria
Description: partial 16S ribosomal RNA
Rfam family: Bacterial small subunit ribosomal RNA
Source: RNAcentral
UACGUAGGGUGCAAGCGUUGUCCGGAAUUAUUGGGCGUAAAGAGCUCGUAGGCGGUCUGUUGCGUCGGCUGUGAAAACCCGAGGCUCAACCUCGGGCCUGCAUUCGAUACGGGCAGACUAGAGUUCGGUAGGGGAGUCUGGAAUUCCUGGUGUAGCGGUGAAAUGCGCAGAUAUCAGGAGGAACACCGGUGGCGAAGGCGGGACUCGUGG